UACGAGGGGGGCGAGCGUUGUUCGGAAUUAUUGGGCGUAAAGGGUGCGUAGGCGGUUUGGUAAGUCUUAUGUGAAAUCUAUGGGCUCAACUCAUAGUCUGCAUGAGAAACUGCCGGGCUUGAGUAUGGGAGAGGUGAGUGGAAUUCCUGGUGUAGCGGUGAAAUGCGUAGAGAUUGGGAAGAACACCAGUGGCGAAGGCGGCUUCCUGGUCUGCAACUGACGCUGUGGCGCGAAAGCUAGGGGAGCAAGCGGG
Molecule: ribosomal RNA, 253 nt
Filed under: uncultured bacterium
Lineage: Bacteria
Description: partial 16S ribosomal RNA
Rfam family: Bacterial small subunit ribosomal RNA
Source: RNAcentral